UCAGCACUUGUUCUUCAGAGAAGUUUACAGCUAAGACCAUGUAAAGGGCCCAUACUUGCCAGAGUUAAAUGCAGUUACAUUUGUGAAGAGCUUUGAAGAAGAUGACCACAUACAAGGGCAUGUACUUCACCGAAUGGAUAGCAGGCACCUUUUUUUGUGUUGCAGCUUCUCAGCCACAUAUUCAUGGAGACUCAAGGAGACACAUCAAGGAUAUCUAACAGCUAAGACUGAAUUUGAGAAGACAUACCUGCCACAGAUUUUUUGC
Molecule: long non-coding RNA, 265 nt
Organism: Apus apus (common swift)
Lineage: Eukaryota; Metazoa; Chordata; Aves; Apodiformes; Apodidae
Exons: 3
Source: RefSeq, a predicted model, not a curated record